GUAAAGAAAAGUCUCUAUCGAGGUUAAAGGUACCCGUACCGCAAACCGACACAGGUGGGUGAGGAGAGUAUCCUAAGGCCAGCGAGAGAACUGUUGUUAAGGAACUCGGCAAAAUGACCCCGUAACUUAGGGAUAAGGGGUGCCACCAUCAGGUGGCCGCAGAGAAUAGGCCCAAGCGACUGUUUACCAAAAACAUAGGUUUCUGCUAAGUCGCAAGACGAUGUAUAGGAGCUGACGCCUGCCCGGUGCUGGAAGGUUAAGGGGAUCUGUUAGAG
Molecule: ribosomal RNA, 275 nt
Filed under: Clostridioides difficile
Lineage: Bacteria; Bacillati; Bacillota; Clostridia; Peptostreptococcales; Peptostreptococcaceae
Description: partial 23S ribosomal RNA
Rfam family: Bacterial large subunit ribosomal RNA
Source: RNAcentral